RNAcentral lists this ribosomal RNA (1827 nucleotides) under Triticum aestivum (bread wheat). RNAcentral describes it as "partial small subunit ribosomal RNA". The record is from RNAcentral. Lineage: Eukaryota; Viridiplantae; Streptophyta; Magnoliopsida; Poales; Poaceae.
AUGGCGGCGCAAAAGCGGCCGCUGGAGGCCGUCGCGGCGGAGCAGGAGGCGCCGCGGUCGCCGAGGAAGCGGCUGCGCCAGACGGUGCUCCUCGUGAUGCGGCUGGAGAGGAGGAGGGCCAGAGCGGCCACCGUCGGGCAGAUGGUUCGCCAGCAGGCGCAGCUCGACAGGGCAAAACUGUUUGUGUUUCUCAUGCUGCUCGCCUCGCGCCUUUGCUCCGUGGAGAGGCUCCUUCAGCAGCUCCGCAACCUACUGACGGGGCAGAUUGGUGCUUUUAGAUCUUUGACGGUAUCCAUACAAGAUCCAAUUCGACCAAUUGUACAGACAGAGAUGCAGGGACGACAAGCAGCCUCGCUUCCUAAUGACAUUUCUGAGCCUCCCAGGCAGAUACCGGAAGGUUUUCCUGAAACUGGAGGCAACACUCGAGUCAAACUGCGCUUUGUCGAUGUUGACAGACCAGAAGAUCCUAUUUACACUGGUUCUCCAGUACAAUGGCUGAAUAAGAAAGAUGCUAGGGUAGCAGUAUUUGAAAAUGAUAGGCAAAUCACGCAGGGCGUCCUUUCUAAAUUGCAAAUUGAGAUUUUAGCAGUCCAUGCUGAAUUCUUUACUGAGCGAGGACAAGCGGACUUCACCAAAGAGGAAUUCAACAAGCAGAUAUGUAUACAUAAGGGGAAUGAGUCAGUCUUGACCACUGUUAAUCUAGCAAAUGGUGCGGCCUAUAUUGGUUCCGUCAUAUUUAUAGAGAGCUCCCAGAGGAAAAGGUUAAGAUUGACAGCACGAGUGAAAGGACAGGAUCUUGAUGUCAGAGUUCAAGAAGCAAUCACUGAUCCUUUUGUUGUCAAAGUCGGCCGAAGUAAACAAAACAGAAAGAGUUAUCCUCCAUCUAAAGAAGAAGCGGUAUACCGUUUGGAGAAGAUUUCCCUAAAGGGAAAACAUUGUACUAUCCUUGCUGAAAAAAAUAUUACUACGGUGAAGCAAUUCAUGCGUCAUUAUUACAGAGAUGAAUCUGGUCUCCAAAAGCUUCUUGACAUGAAGGAGGAUUGGAGUACCUUGAUUAAACAUGCCACCACGUCUGAUCCUGGGCUUGAGAUCUAUUCUUUUAUUGUUGAGGAAAAUACUGAACUCUUAUUCAAUGAUUUCUAUAAUCUUGUUGGUAUGAUGAUCAGUGGAUUAUAUUUUCCUGUCAAUUGCCUUGAUCAGUUUCAGCAGAUUAAAGUGAACAACUGGAAAAUGUCUACGUAUAAGAAAUUUGACGAGCGGGAGAACUCAGGGGGUCUUACCCCUGAUUACUUCAUGACCGAUGGCAUCCCUGUCCGUGCAAUGCCUCUGAACAAUGAUGCAGAAUUUGGUGAUCAGCAUCCACUGAAUGGGUUCUCACGGGCCGCAGUCCUGUCAAACAAUGACGCUGGCCCAUCAAACCAAGGAGCACUGCCCGUUCCACAACACACGUAUCAAGGACUUGGCCAGCACAAUCCUUCUGUGCCACAGAAUGGAGCUCCUUACUCUCUGCACCAGGGAAAUAUCUUAAAUGAUCAGGGACCAUUAUCAGCACAGUCCACUAUUCCGCCCCACAAUUUUUCACCAGUUCCACAGGAUGACAUGAUCGCAGGUGCAAAUCAAACUGACCAGAGAACCCCUUCACUUGACCCUGUUCUGGCUGACAUGUCCAGUGGGUUUUCCCCAGUUCCAUUCGAGGACUACAGCAGCCUGGAUGUAACCGACUAUCUGAAUCUGACAGACUAUGGCAUUGCACCAGCUAAUGACGCAGAACUGCCGAAUCCCAACAGCCCAUCUGAUGGUUAUGGACAUGAUGGCGGCAACCAGUGA